GCAGCUCAGGUCUCCUGGCUCCCCAUACUGGCCGCCGAUAUUUGGAGUUCUUACAACAUGGCAGACAUUGACAAUCUGAACUUCAUCAAGAUUUGGAUGAUGUUGAAGAAGUAAAAGAAGAAGAAACUAGUGAAGAAACAAAAAUCAAAGCAUGUCAGCUAACUGUUCAGAUGAUGCAAAAUCCUCAGAUUCUUGCAGCCCUUCGAGAAAGACUUGAUGGUCUGGUAGAAACACCAACAGGAUAUAUUGAAAGCCUGCCUAGGGUAGUUAAAAGACGAGUGAAUACUCUCAAAAACCUGCAAGUUAAAUUAAAUGUGCACAGAUAGAAACCAAAUGCUAUGAGGAAGUUCACAAUCUUGAAAGGAAGUAUGCUGUUCUCUAUCAGCCUCUACUUGAUACACGAUUUGAGAUUAUUAAUGCAAUUGAUGAACCCACGGAAGAAGAAUGUGAAUGGAAAUCAAAUAAAGAAGAUGAGAUUUCAGAGGAGUUGAAAGAAAAGGCCAAGAUCGAAGAUGAGAAAAAGGAUGAAGAAAAAGAAGACCCCAAAGGAAUUCCUGAAUUUUGGUUAACUGUUUUUAAGAAUGUUGACUUGUUCAGUGAUAUGGUUCAGCAACAUGAUGAACCUAUUCUGAAACACUUGAAAGAUACUCAAGUGAAGCUCUCAGCUGCUGGCCAGCCUAUGAGUUUUGUCUUAGAGUUUCACUUUGAACCCAAUGACUAUUUUACAAAUGAAGUGCUAACAACAGGAUGAGGUCAGAACCAGAUGAUUUUGAUCCCUUUUCUUUUGAUGGACCAGAAAUUAUGGGUUGUACAGAGGGCCAGACAGAUUGGAAAAAAGGAAAGGAUGUCACUUUGAAAACUAUUAAGAAGCAGCAUAAAAACAAGGGAAGCGGGACAGUUCGUACUGUGACUAACACAGUUUCCAGUGACUCUUUCUUUAAUUUUUUUGCCCCUCCUGAAGUUCCUGAGAGUGGAGAUGAUGCACAGACCUCAAAAAUAGGUCACUUUUUACGUGAGUGUAAAUCCUAAGAUCAGUGUCAUACUUGACUGGAGAAGCUAUUGAAGUUGAUGAUGGUGUUUAUGAUGAAGAAGGUGAAGAAGCAGACGAGGUAAUGUUUACCAAAUGA
This is a non-coding RNA of Chlorocebus sabaeus (green monkey), 1127 nucleotides long. The record is from RefSeq and is a predicted model, not a curated record. Lineage: Eukaryota; Metazoa; Chordata; Mammalia; Primates; Cercopithecidae.